GAUGAACGCUGGCGGCGUGCCUAAUACAUGCAAGUCGAGCGAACAGACGAGGAGCUUGCUCCUCUGACGUUAGCGGCGGACGGGUGAGUAACACGUGGAUAACCUACCUAUAAGACUGGGAUAACUUCGGGAAACCGGAGCUAAUACCGGAUAAUAUAUUGAACCGCAUGGUGCAAUAGUGAAAGACGGUUUUGCUGUCACUUAUAGAUGGAUCCGCGCCGCAUUAGCUAGUUGGUAAGGUAACGGCUUACCAAGGCAACGAUGCGUAGCCGACCUGAGAGGGUGAUCGGCCACACUGGAACUGAGACACGGUCCAGACUCCUACGGGAGGCAGCAGUAGGGAAUCUUCCGCGAUGGGCGAAAGCUUGACGGAGCAACGCCGCGUGAGUGAUGAAGGUCUUCGGAUCGUAAAACUCUGUUAUUAGGGAAGAACAAAUGUGUAAGUAACUAUGCACGUCUUGACGGUACCUAAUCAGAAAGCCACGGCUAACUACGUG
Molecule: ribosomal RNA, 497 nt
Filed under: uncultured bacterium
Lineage: Bacteria
Description: partial 16S ribosomal RNA
Rfam family: Bacterial small subunit ribosomal RNA
Source: RNAcentral